Molecule: ribosomal RNA, 475 nt
Filed under: uncultured bacterium
Lineage: Bacteria
Description: bacterial SSU rRNA
Rfam family: Bacterial small subunit ribosomal RNA
Source: RNAcentral
AAUCAACGCUGGCGGCGUGCCUCAGACAUGCAAGUCGAACGCGAAAGUUCCCUUCGGGGGAUAAGUAGAGUGGCGUCCGGGUGAGUAACACGUAGGUAAUCUACCUUUGGGUGGGGGAACAACAACCGGAAACGGUUGCUAAUACCGCAUAAUGCAGCGGCACCACAUGGUGACAGUUGUUAAAGCGGGGGAUCGCAAGACCUCGCGCCUAAAGAGGAGCCUGCGGCGGAUUAGCUAGUUGGAGGGUAACGGCCUACCAAGGCAACGAUCCGUAGCCGGCCUGAGAGGGCGGUCGGCCACACUGACACUGAAAUACGGGUCAGACUCCUACGGGAGGCAGCAGUCGGGAAUUUUGGGCAAUGGGCGAAAGCCUGACCCAGCAACGCCGCGUGAAGGAUGAAAUCCCUCGGGAUGUAAACUUCGCAAGAACAGGAAGAAUAAGUAGGGGACAAUACCCCCUAUGAUGACGGUACUG